This is a non-coding RNA of Eimeria acervulina, 72 nucleotides long. The record is from Rfam. NCBI's taxonomy places the organism in Eukaryota, Apicomplexa, Conoidasida, Eucoccidiorida, Eimeriidae.
UCCGAGAUAGUAUAGUGGCUAGUAUUUCCGCCUGUCACGCGGAAGACCCGGGUUCAAUUCCCGGUCUCGGAG